GAGAGUUGCUCGUUUAAAAGAAAAUGGUGGGUUUAAUAACUCACUAUUUUACUUCCAAAAUACCAAUCCUAAUAAUGUUUAUUUUUCCUUCUCUCCUAACUUUACUUUGACGUUUCUCUCUCCUUCACAUUUCUUCCAUUCUUUAACUCUUCUUGCUCGACUUUCUCUUGCAUGAAAUUUUUGCUUGAGAUCUACUUUUUUGAUUAUAUCUUUGUCGUUCCUCAAUCCAUUCUUGGUGUUUUGGUUUUUAGUCACUUAAAACCUAAUCAAAAUGGCCCAAAAUAAUUACACAUUUCCACAAUCCAUUCACAAUUAGUUUGAGAUUCAUUAAUUUUACGUUUGGAGUAAAUUUUCUUGUCAUCCAAUCUUUAUCAAUAAAUUUUCAUGAAGUAUUUGUAAUAAAUCGCAAUUGUGCAUUAUUGCUAUUUACAUUUCUUUUUUUUUUUUUUUUUGCACAUGUACUUGGACAUUUGUUGAGGACAUUAUAGGAAUGAAAUAAAUUUACAUAUUUUGACUUCUAUUAA
This is a long non-coding RNA of Benincasa hispida (wax gourd), 524 nucleotides long. RefSeq lists it as uncharacterized. Lineage: Eukaryota; Viridiplantae; Streptophyta; Magnoliopsida; Cucurbitales; Cucurbitaceae. The record is from RefSeq and is a predicted model, not a curated record.